Molecule: long non-coding RNA, 1543 nt
Organism: Rhopalosiphum padi (bird cherry-oat aphid)
Lineage: Eukaryota; Metazoa; Arthropoda; Insecta; Hemiptera; Aphididae
Exons: 3
Source: RefSeq, a predicted model, not a curated record
CCGAUUGAGGCAGGUCAGUGUCAAUGCACUUUAAUGACGUUCGCAACUCAUCCUCCGUUGCGCCAACAAGCAAGCAGCUCUCUACCGCAAUAAUAUUUCUCAGCUUCGACCGACCGGAAGAUCGUGUAUGCGAUGAUGAUUUUUCUUUUUCCGUAUUUUCUCAUCGCGUAGAUACGAUAUUUUCUACGAAACUCAUUUAUACCGUCGUCAUCCGUCCGGUAUUCGGAGAGCGGAAAAAAAAAUUCAAACUUUUUCCGUUUUUUUUCCCCCGUCCCCGUUCACUGCCGACCACCACGACGACGACGACAGACACGGCUGCCGGAAAGCUACGCAGAACGACGACGAAAGACACGGUCGGAAAUCAUGACAAUUUCAACGUGGCGGCGAUCGACUAUACCUAAUGCGAAAUAAUCUGCGAACGCGGCGGUGGCCUCGGAGCCGGCAGUAGUAGCGGUGGCGGCGACGGUGGAAGCGGCGGUGGCGGUGGUGGCGACGGCGGCGGCGGCGGCGGCGUUGUCUAGGUUAUGGCUGGCGCGCACUUGCAGGGGUGAGAGUUCAACGUCCCCGGGCCGGUCAUCCACCGCAAAAGCGCCUUCCCCUCAUUUGGGCGCGGUGUCGAAGGGGUGAACGACUCGCCGACCACGGGUUGGGGUAGUUAAACAAGGAUAUGAAAACUAUCACAACCACACCAUCACAGCACCACGCAGAAUUCAGAAUUGCAGUAGGCUACCUAUACUACGUAUCAAAACUUCUAAUUGUUAGGAAAUCUAUACAAUAAUAUUUUUUUUUGUGAAACAUUGUACCCUAAAAAUGUUAAAAUAAUUUUAUUAAUAGUAACUAAUGUUAAUAGAAAAUAUAUUAAACUGGUAAAUGUAAUAUUGCAUCCGCCAUCCAAUAACAUCCAACGUGUCAGUUAAUAGAGUGAGGGAGAUAGUUACUUUAGACGUUAACUAAUCCUUUGAAUUUUUUUUUAACUGGAAUAUUAUUUAUUAUAUGAUUUAUAUGUAUUUAAUACUUUUAAUAAUAAUGUUGUUAUUAUAGCUACAAUUUUAAAUGUUUAAUACAUAAUUAUUUCAAAAUAAAUCCCCUAAAUAUAAUGGGGCCGGGAGUAUAUAAUAACUAUUACUUCCACCCGUUAAAUACAACGCGUCGACGCUGGUAGUUAUAUUAUAUUUAAUUAUAUAUUAAUAUAAUAUUGUAUACUAUUACUUUUAUUAUAAGUAUAUAUUCAUAAGUUGAUAAAAUAUGUUGUUAUUAUUGUUAUUAUGUAACAAUAGCUAUAUGCCUAUAAUAUGUUGUUAAUUGUUAUUAAUACGUUAAAAUCUAAAUCAAAGAUCGUAGGCUUCGCUAUCAUAAAUAAGAACACAUAUUAAGACAAACUCAAAUGCAUUUAUGAAAAAAGUGACAGGUCUUUUUUGUACCAAUUAAGUUUUUUGUUAUAACUUGCAAGUGUAUUGUAAUUUAUAAUUAAUUAAAUUAUUUAUUUUUUUAAACAUAUUCUGUAAUAUUUUAUUGUAAUUAUUAGUUAUUUAUUUAUAUUUAU